GCUCUUGUAGCUCAGGGGUAGAGCACUUCCUUGGUAAGGAAGAGGUCAUGGGUUCAAAUCCCAUCAAGAGCUCCA
Molecule: transfer RNA, 75 nt
Filed under: Verrucomicrobiales bacterium
Lineage: Bacteria; Pseudomonadati; Verrucomicrobiota; Verrucomicrobiia; Verrucomicrobiales
Also listed under: 2 other names
Description: tRNA-Thr
Rfam family: tRNA
About the family: Transfer RNA (tRNA) molecules are approximately 80 nucleotides in length. Their secondary structure includes four short double-helical elements and three loops (D, anti-codon, and T loops).
Source: RNAcentral